UAGAUAAGAGGAUCAAGACAAACGAAGAUUUCCUCUGGACAAUUGAAGUUCCCUUGACUGGAAAAAUCAUCAUCGACGUCGAGUUUCUUGACCUCAAGGUUCUGUCUCAAGAUGUAAGUGUUAGAAAAUAGACAGAACCUUUUUUCUUUUAUUUACUGAUAUUUAGUUGAUAUUGGCAGAGUGGGGAGUUUUACUCAAUCUGGGCAGACGGUUCAACGCAGAACCAAUCCGAAGUUACAGCGGUAACAUCCCUUGGACGUAUGUUGACAGAAAGCAUUUACACCGACAUAACAAUCAA
RNAcentral lists this long non-coding RNA (298 nucleotides) under Brassica napus (rape). Its description in RNAcentral is "long non-coding RNA (BNAP_LNC022688)". Lineage: Eukaryota; Viridiplantae; Streptophyta; Magnoliopsida; Brassicales; Brassicaceae. The record is from RNAcentral.